CCAUGAAAAUGUGUCUACUGCAGCAUGAAUGACAUUUUAAAAAUAGUGAAUAAAAACAUUGAAAUAAUUUGUAAUGCAUUUCAUUACUAUUGUUUUAAUGUGAAUCCAUUUAUUGAUUUUGAAUCGCAUCGCCUGCAUAUGAUUCCAAAUCUGCCAGCUGAGAAACACAUUCUCAUUCCGCUAAGGAUCUGUCUACCAGCAGGAAAACUACUUUUUUUCAUUUGAUCCUCUUUGUGUUUCGUAGGUAUGGGUGUCAUGGCAACAAAAUCAAUGAUCGCCCAUAACUAAAUGGAGAGCGAUUUGAGAUCAGCAUGGUGUUGGUGAACUGUUAAACAAGGGUUAGUGUUUGAAGUCUUCAACUUCAUUCCCAGACUCAUGUUUUGAGGAUUAUUCUGGGCUACCUGGCUCAGACAGGGAGAGUCCACUACU
Long non-coding RNA from Oncorhynchus tshawytscha (Chinook salmon), 429 nucleotides. RefSeq lists it as uncharacterized. NCBI's taxonomy places the organism in Eukaryota, Metazoa, Chordata, Actinopteri, Salmoniformes, Salmonidae. The transcript is spliced from 3 exons. The record is from RefSeq and is a predicted model, not a curated record.